GAUGAAGAACGUAGCGAAAUGCGAUAAGUAAUGUGAAUUGCAGAAUUCAGUGAAUCAUCGAAUCUUUGAACGCACAUUGCGCCCGCCAGUAUUCUGGCGGGCAUGCCUGUUCGAGCGUCAUUUCAACCAUCAAGCCCCCGGCUUGUGUUGGGGACCUGCGGCUGCCGCAGGCCCUGAAAACCAGUGGCGGGCUCGCUAGUCACUCCGAGCGUAGUAAUACAUCUCGCUCAGGGCGUGCUGCGGGUUCCGGCCGUUAAAAAGCCUUAUUUACCCAAGGUUGACCUCGGAUCAGGUAGGAAGACCCGCUGAACUUAAGCAUAUCAUAAGCGGAGA
RNAcentral lists this unclassified non-coding RNA (333 nucleotides) under soil metagenome. RNAcentral's name for it is "partial contains 5.8S ribosomal RNA, internal transcribed spacer 2, and large subunit ribosomal RNA". The stretch from base 1 to 120 matches the Rfam family "5.8S ribosomal RNA", at positions 35 to 154 of the family's 154-position model. The record is from RNAcentral.